RNAcentral lists this ribosomal RNA (493 nucleotides) under uncultured bacterium. RNAcentral describes it as "partial 16S ribosomal RNA". It matches the Rfam family "Bacterial small subunit ribosomal RNA", at positions 30 to 523 of the family's 1533-position model. The record is from RNAcentral.
AUUGAACGCUGGCGGCAUGCUUUACACAUGCAAGUCGAACGGUAACAGGUUAAGCUGACGAGUGGCGAACGGGUGAGUAAUGCAUCGGAACGUGCCCGAUCGUGGGGGAUAACGCAGCGAAAGCUGCGCUAAUACCGCAUACGAUCUGAGGAUGAAAGCGGGGGACCGUAAGGCCUCGCGCGAUCGGAGCGGCCGAUGUCAGAUUAGGUAGUUGGUGGGGUAAAGGCUCACCAAGCCGACGAUCUGUAGCUGGUCUGAGGGGACGACCAGCCACACUGGGACUGAGACACGGCCCAGACUCCUACGGGAGGCAGCAGUGGGGAAUUUUGGACAAUGGGCGAAAGCCUGAUCCAGCAAUGCCGCGUGCAGGAAGAAGGCCUUCGGGUUGUAAACUGCUUUUGUACGGAGCGAAAAGGCUCUCUCUAAUACAGGGGGCUUAUGACGGUACCGUAAGAAUAAGCACCGGCUAACUACGUGCCAGCCGCCGCAGUAA